UCUCCGUUGGUGAACCGGCGGAGGGAUCAUUACAGAGUUGCAAAACUCCCAAACCAUUGUGAACGUUACCUAUCCCGUUGCUUCGGCGGGCGGCCCGGGCCCCGCGCCCGGCGCCCCCCGGCCCCCCGUGGGCGCCCGCCGGAGGUAAACCAAACCCUUGAAUUGCAUGGACUCUCUGAGUCUUCCGUACUGAAUAAGUCAAAACUUUCAACAACGGAUCCCUUGGUUCUG
Molecule: unclassified non-coding RNA, 231 nt
Filed under: plant metagenome
Description: partial contains small subunit ribosomal RNA, internal transcribed spacer 1, and 5.8S ribosomal RNA
Source: RNAcentral